This 271-nucleotide ribosomal RNA is filed under the name uncultured bacterium. RNAcentral describes it as "partial small subunit ribosomal RNA". It matches the Rfam family "Bacterial small subunit ribosomal RNA", at positions 26 to 285 of the family's 1533-position model. The record is from RNAcentral.
AGAAUCAACGCUGGCGGCGUGCCUAACACAUGCAAGUCGAACGCGAAAGCCCCGCAAGGGGUCAGUAGAGUGGCAAACGGGUGAGUAACACGUGGGUGAUCUGCCUCAGAGUGGGGAUAACGACCCGAAAGGGUCGCUAAUACCGCAUAACAUCCUGCCUUUGGAUAGGUGGCGAUCAAAGCCGGGGACCGCAAGGCCUGGCGCUUGGAGAGGAGCCCGCGGCCGAUUAGCUAGUUGGUGAGGUAAUGGCUCACCAAGGCAACGAUCGGUA